ACUCAAAUGAAUUGACGGGGGCCCGCACAAGCGGUGGAACAUGUGGUUUAAUUCGAAGCUACGCGAAAAACCUCACCAGGGCUUGACAUGUAAGAAGUAGUGAACUGAAAGGGGAACGACCCGUUAAGUCGGGAGCUUACACAGGUGCUGCAUGGCUGUCGUCAGCUCGUGUCGUGAGAUGUUGGGUUAAGUCCCGCAACGAGCGCAACCAUUGUCCUUUGUUGCUACUCUAGUUCGGCUUGCCGGAUUAGAGGCACUCUAAGGAGACUGCCUGGGAUAACCAGGAGGAAGGUGGAGAUGACGUCAAGUCAGUACGGCCUUUAUGCCCUGGGCGACACACGUGUUACAAUGGGUAGGACAAAGGGUUGCCAACCCGCGAGGGGGAGCUAAUCUCAAAAACCUACCCCCAGUUCAGAUCGCAGUCUGCAAUUCGACUGCGUGAAGCCGGAAUCGCUAGUAAUGGGAGAUCAGCACGCUCCCGUGAAUACGUUCCCGGGCCUUGUACACACCGCCCGU
Molecule: ribosomal RNA, 516 nt
Filed under: uncultured bacterium
Lineage: Bacteria
Description: partial 16S ribosomal RNA
Rfam family: Bacterial small subunit ribosomal RNA
Source: RNAcentral